UGCUCCCCUCUGACAACACUGAGAAACAAAUGUGCUCAUCCCCACUGUAAAAAUGAGGACACAGUGUCAGAGAGGGCACGCCCCUUGCCCAAAGUCAUGCUGAUCAAAGCAACAAAACAAAAAUGCCAACCGCAGCUCCAGAAGAGGAUGCCAACCCUGUUUCACAGGAAGGGAAAGCAAGAUGCAGCAGAAGUCAGGAUGCUUCCCGGCCUCUCCUUGAACAGACCAAGCCUCACCGUAUCCUGCGUUCACCUGCCGGGAGCUGAGCCCCAGCUUCACCCUUGGCAUUGCACAGGGAACCCGAGUCCAUGCCACAGCACAGUGUUGCCAGGUGCUAAAUGCCAGGCUGAAAGGCCACCGCCUUCGUUCCUGCCGAUUCUCACAGAGAGCCGAAGCUGCACACACACAGUUGGAGGACUUGUGAGGCUGGAGCGCCCUCUGCUGGUCAUACAGCGGGUACAGCCAGGAGAGAGGUACAAGUUGGGAAUGCCUGCUGCAAAGCCCAGCUGUUAGGAUGCCGGCAGAGAGAACAGGUAGCCUGGUCCCCUGAGGACACCGCAGCUGUCACCUCGGCCACACACCAGAGGCUGCAGCUUGUACUGCUGACCCUCAGGUCCUGGACCCUGAACAAGCAUCCCACUGCUGUGAGGACUCUAUCCAGCUACAAGGAUGCAGCUUCCAGAGGGAAUUCUCUGUGGGCCUUGGUUCUUUGGGACGCCAGCUCCUGAAUCUAGCCCAGAGUCAGUGUCUGAUGUAGGCAUGGUCCUAUGUCCCAGCUGCAAGUCACAGCUGUCCCUCCUGGGGUAUCCUAGCCCAGGAAGGGGGUUCAGACCUUAGCAGCCAAGAAAAAUGCCAGGCGUCCACUGUGUCCCCUGCAUUGUCCACACAGUUCUGUUCUUCCUGGCCUCCUACCCCCUUAUAAUUCUUAAGAUUCUGGGCAAAUUCAUUUGAUUUUAUGCAAGCCUUAAACCAAAGCCUGAGAUUGGAAGGCUUCCAUUGAUUUUUUUUUGUUUUUUUUUGUUUUUUUUUUGGCUGGGUCAUCCUGCCACCUGUUGGCAGCUCAG
Molecule: long non-coding RNA, 1064 nt
Organism: Hipposideros armiger (great roundleaf bat)
Lineage: Eukaryota; Metazoa; Chordata; Mammalia; Chiroptera; Hipposideridae
Exons: 4
Source: RefSeq, a predicted model, not a curated record